UGGACUAUUUAUUACCCUUGUCUUUUGCGCACUUGUUGUUUCCUGGGCGGGUUCGCUCGCCACCAGGACCACAAUAUAAACCUUUUUUAUGCAGUUGCAAUCAGCGUCAGUAUAACAAAUGUAAAUCAUUUACAACUUUCAACAACGGAUCUCUUGGUUCUGGCAUCGAUGAAGAACGCAGCGAAAUGCGAUACGUAGUGUGAAUUGCAGAAUUCAGUGAAUCAUCGAAUCUUUGAACGCACAUUGCGCCCUUUGGUAUUCCAAAGGGCAUGCCUGUUCGAGCGUCAUUUGUACCCUCAAGCUUUGCUUGGUGUUGGGCGUUUUUGUCUUUGGCCCGCCAAAGACUCGCCUUAAAAUGAUUGGCAGCCGGCCUACUGGUUUCGCAGCGCAGCACAUUUUUGCGCUUGCAAUCAGCAAAAGAGGACGGCAAUCCAUCAAGACUCCUUCUCACGUUUGACCUCGGAUCAGGUAGGGAUACCC
This 480-nucleotide ribosomal RNA is filed under the name Bipolaris sp. UTMC 5042. RNAcentral's name for it is "eukaryotic LSU rRNA". The stretch from base 134 to 287 matches the Rfam family "5.8S ribosomal RNA". Lineage: Eukaryota; Fungi; Ascomycota; Dothideomycetes; Pleosporales; Pleosporaceae. The record is from RNAcentral.